GUGUAAUAGCACGAAGCAUAGAAACCAUUUUUUAGGUGUGUGUAUUUCUUAUCGGUGAAUUCACAUUGCCAUGAAGGGAGUUAACCAUGCUGUUUUGCAACCUGUCUGCUUUUACCUCAGCUGCCUGGACCCACUGGAGAAGGAGGCUUGAAUGAAAGAAGUAAGAUGAAGCAACUUAAGGUUAUUCCUGCACCUCGCAUCUCACCGUAAUGUGCAUUGGCAGCAAUGUGAGAGCAGCUUGUUUAAAUCUACUAAACAAUGUAAAAAUGGAAGAGGAAAGUUAACAAACUAAGCUGAAAAUGAAAAUAUAUGUGUAAACAUU
Long non-coding RNA from Carcharodon carcharias (great white shark), 322 nucleotides. RefSeq lists it as uncharacterized. The record is from RefSeq and is a predicted model, not a curated record. The transcript has 2 exons. NCBI's taxonomy places the organism in Eukaryota, Metazoa, Chordata, Chondrichthyes, Lamniformes, Lamnidae.